AUUGAACGCUGGCGGCGUGCCUAACACAUGCAAGUCGAGCGGUAACAGGUGUAGCAAUACAUGCUGACGAGCGGCGAACGGGUGAGUAAUGCUUCGGAAUCUACCCAAUGGUGGGGAAUAACCAGCCGAAAGGUUGGCUAAUACCGCAUACGUCCUACGGGAGAAAGCAGGGGAUCGUAAGACCUUGCGCCAAUGGAUGAGCCGAAGUCGGAUUAGCUAGNGGUAGGGUAACGGCCUACCAAGGCGACGAUCCGUAGCUGGUCUGAGAGGACGACCAGCCACACUGGGACUGAGACACGGCCCAGACUCCUACGGGAGGCAGCAGUGGGAAUAUUGACAAUGGGGAAACCCUGAUCCAGCGACGCCGCGUGUGUGAAGAAGGCCUGCGGGUU
RNAcentral lists this ribosomal RNA (392 nucleotides) under uncultured bacterium. Its description in RNAcentral is "bacterial SSU rRNA". It matches the Rfam family "Bacterial small subunit ribosomal RNA", at positions 30 to 424 of the family's 1533-position model. The record is from RNAcentral.